This 497-nucleotide ribosomal RNA is filed under the name uncultured bacterium. RNAcentral describes it as "partial 16S ribosomal RNA". It matches the Rfam family "Bacterial small subunit ribosomal RNA", at positions 28 to 507 of the family's 1533-position model. The record is from RNAcentral.
GAUGAACGCUGGCGGCGUGCCUAAUACAUGCAAGUCGAGCGAACAGACGAGGAGCUUGCUCCUCUGACGUUAGCGGCGGACGGGUGAGUAACACGUGGAUAACCUACCUAUAAGACUGGGAUAACUUCGGGAAACCGGAGCUAAUACCGGAUAAUAUAUUGAACCGCAUGGUUCAAUAGUGAAAGACGGUUUUGCUGUCACUUAUAGAUGGAUCCGCGCCGCAUUAGCUAGUUGGUAAGGUAACGGCUUACCAAGGCAACGAUGCGUAGCCGACCUGAGAGGGUGAUCGGCCACACUGGAACUGAGACACGGUCCAGACUCCUACGGGAGGCAGCAGUAGGGAAUCUUCCGCAAUGGGCGAAAGCCUGACGGAGCAACGACGCGGGAGUGAUGAAGGUCUUCGGAUCGUAAAACUCUGUUAUUAGGGAAGAACAAAUGUGUAAGUAACUAUGCACGUCUUGACGGUACCUAAUCAGAAAGCCACGGCUAACUACGUG